Molecule: ribosomal RNA, 775 nt
Filed under: uncultured Neocallimastigales
Lineage: Eukaryota; Fungi; Neocallimastigomycota; Neocallimastigomycetes; Neocallimastigales
Description: partial large subunit ribosomal RNA
Rfam family: Eukaryotic large subunit ribosomal RNA
Source: RNAcentral
UGUGUAUCAGUACAUGGCAUAUCAAUAAGCGGAGGAAAAGAAACUAACAAGGAUUCCCCUAGUAACGGCGAGUGAAGCGGGAAGAGCUCAAAUUUGAAAUCUUAAAGGGUUUCCCUUUACGAAUUGUAGUUUAAAGAAGUGUUUUCUGUUGGAGUUUCGGUAAAAGUUCUUUGGAAUAGGACAUCAUAGAGGGUGAGAAUCCCGUAUUUGACCGUUACUUUCCAGCUGUGUGAUACACUUUCAAAGAGUCGGAUUGUUUGGGAACGCAGUCCAAGAUGGGUGGUAAAUUUCAUCUAAAGCUAAAUAUUGGCGAGAGACCGAUAGCGAACAAGUACCGUGAGGGAAAGAUGAAAAGAACUUUGAAAAGAGAGUUAAACAGUACGUGAAAUUGUCAAAAGGGAAGCGUUUGACACCAGUGUUGUUUAGUUGAAAAUCAAUUCAAUAGUUUUUGAUUCUAAGUAGUAUUGACUUCAUCAGCUUGCUGCCUUCUUCUCAGAAAUUAUUGAAUGCACUUUUCAGUUAACAAGUCAACAUCAAUUUCUUUUGUUGUAAAAGGGUAAGAGGAAGGUGGCUUGCGCUUCGGCUCAAGUGUUUAUAGCCUUUUAUCUCUGCAAUCGGAGAGAUUGAGGUCUGCAGCGUAGAUCCUUCGGGGUUAGAUACAUUGGUGCUAAGCUAUAGCCUUGUAUAGACAACCUGUUGACUAUGCUCAGUCAUGUAGCUUACUCGCUGAUGCUAUUUUACCUACGCUUAGGAUGUUGACAGCAGUAUAGACUGU